GAACGAGACCCUCAUCCCUAUUUGCCAACCGCGUCCCCGGACGCGGCGCACUAUAGGGAGACCGCUGGCGCGAAGUCAGAGGAAGGCGAGGGCAACGGUAGGUCAGUAUGCUCCGAAUGCUAUGGGCUACACGCGCAAUACAAAGGACGGGACAAUGGGCUGCAACUCCGAGAGGAUAGACGCUAUCCCGAAACCCGUUCGUAGUUCGGAUUGAGGGCUGUAACUCGCCCUCAUGAAGCUGGAUUAGGUAGUAAUCGCGUCUCAAUAGGGCGCGGUGAAUAUGCCCCUGCUCCUUGCACACACCGCCCGUCAAACCAUCUUAGUUGGGGGUGGGUGAGGCUACCUUAACCAUGGGGUAUUCGAGCCUGCCUUCGACAAGGAGGGUUAAGUCGUAACAAGGUAUCUGUAGGGGAACCUGCAGAUGGAUCACCUCCU
RNAcentral lists this ribosomal RNA (435 nucleotides) under Candidatus Thalassarchaeaceae archaeon. RNAcentral describes it as "bacterial SSU rRNA". It matches the Rfam family "Archaeal small subunit ribosomal RNA", at positions 1043 to 1478 of the family's 1478-position model. Lineage: Archaea; Methanobacteriati; Thermoplasmatota; Candidatus Poseidoniia; Candidatus Poseidoniales; Candidatus Thalassarchaeaceae. The record is from RNAcentral.